AGGGUUCGAUCAUGGCUCAGGACGAACGCUGGCGGUGCGCCUUAUGCAUGCAAGUUGAGCGAAGCUUUUUGGUAGUUUACUACUAGAAAUGACUGAGCGGCGAACGGGUGAGUAACGCGUGAGCAAUCUACCUUAGUUACUGGGAUAGCCCGAGGAAACUCGGAUUAAUACCGGAUAUUCUUAUUUUUUCACAUGAAGUUUUAAGGAAAGGUCAGCCGAACUAAGAUGAGCUCGCGUUCUAUCAGCUAGUUGGUGGGGUAAAAGCCUACCAAGGCUACGACGGAUAGCUGGUCUGAGGGGACGAUCAGCCACACUGGGACUGAGACACGGCCCAGACUCCUACGGGAGGCUGCAGCAGGGAAUAUUGUGCAAUGAGCGAAAGCUUGACACAGCGACACCGCGUGUGGGAUGACGGUUCUAGGAUUGUAAACCACUUUCAGGAGGGAAGAAAAUGACGGUACCUCCACAAGAAGACCCGGCCAACUAUGUGCCAGCCGCCGCGGUAAUAC
RNAcentral lists this ribosomal RNA (509 nucleotides) under uncultured bacterium. RNAcentral's name for it is "bacterial SSU rRNA". It matches the Rfam family "Bacterial small subunit ribosomal RNA", at positions 8 to 526 of the family's 1533-position model. The record is from RNAcentral.